This 73-nucleotide transfer RNA is filed under the name Dipodomys ordii (Ord's kangaroo rat). It matches the Rfam family "tRNA". From Rfam's summary of the family: Transfer RNA (tRNA) molecules are approximately 80 nucleotides in length. Their secondary structure includes four short double-helical elements and three loops (D, anti-codon, and T loops). Lineage: Eukaryota; Metazoa; Chordata; Mammalia; Rodentia; Heteromyidae. The record is from Rfam by way of RNAcentral.
GAGGGUGUGGCUCAAGUGGUAGAGCUCCUGUCUAGCAAGCAUGAGGUUCUGAGUUCAAACCUCAGCACCACCA